This 1435-nucleotide long non-coding RNA is filed under the name Dasypus novemcinctus (nine-banded armadillo). Its description in RNAcentral is "lncRNA (ENSDNOG00000051712.1)". The record is from RNAcentral. Lineage: Eukaryota; Metazoa; Chordata; Mammalia; Cingulata; Dasypodidae.
GGUUGGUAUUACUCAAUAAAGUUCAGUGAAAAUCAUCUUCCUCUUGCUUGUCAAAAUAACGUACUUAGCUGUUUGUGACUUAAAAAAAAAGUCAACCCUUUGAGGAAAGCUUGGCAGAGCUGCUACAGCAUCUGUUUUAAGUGAACAACACAGGGGUGUCUAUUAUUCUCUCACACAAAACAGUCCAACACAAAAGGUCUGUGGCCUUGACCUCAAGUGACAAGAGAACAGACUACAGGGCCAGUCCGGGUCCCUGUGGGACAUAUGCUCGGAGGCGCAUUCCCUCCGCAAGGCCUUUUUUCCUCUCUACUCUCAUCUCUUGAACUUCCCCUUCAAUGCACAGCCGCCGCGCCAGCGCAGCCGGGCCACUCUCGCUCUCUGUGAUGCCACUGGCAGUCUGUCGCUGCCUGAACAUGCAGGAUUUCAAUAAAACCGAAGUCGCAAUUGGAAGGGCAGGGACUGGAAUUAAGCUGUCGAAAAAGGCGCAGCCAGACCUCCGUCCUGAAGUCCGAGACUCCUCACCCAUCACCUUUCAAUCUGCGGAAGGAAGAAUAACUUCCAGAUGACAUCUGACUUUGAAAUGGAAGCUCUCAUGCAGAAACACACCUUGUGAUGCUUGCUAUGGCUUCAACGCAGAGGUUUUACCAUUUAAAAUGCUAAUUAAAGAGCUGGGUUUUCUUCUUUACGUCUCAUUAAAAAACAGACACAUCCAAGAUUGAAAGAUUGAAAGAUGGGGGGAGAAGCUCGCCUCUGCUGCAGUUAAAUAUGAACCUUGGGGGGGGGGGAGGGGAGAGACACAUCGAAACACGUUAUAAAAUUUUUAAAAAACUGUUAAAUAAACAACAUUAUCAUGCUCUCUGACAUGAAUCCAUAAUCUGGACCAUUGUGCUAGGCAGACAAUUACAGGGUGAACUGUCCUUUAAACUGGGCAUGAUUGUAUACGUUCACUGAUAAUGCUUUGCAUAGGUUUAUAAUUCUAAGGUGCUGUUCUAUCUUUUAAUUAACUUGAUUCUUAAAAUAAUCACAGUUACUAGAAUAAGGAACUAAGACAGCUAUCAAUAACCGCUGUCUCUUUUUCUGCCCUGUAGUGAGCACCUACCAUCAGCAAAACGCAUGUAUACUAUAUUAAUUAAGGCAAGUAACAUUAGCUGCUAAAACAAAUAAGCCUAAGUCUUCGUGGCUUACUUAGUAAAUGUUUCUAAGUCACACAAAUGAUACUAGUUGAUGGGUAAGACUUUCAAUAUGAUCAUCAGUCACCAGGUUCAUUUCCUCUUGUGGCCUCACCCUCCUCCCAUUCACACAAUCAAAGGAUGAGAGAAUGGAGGUUUGCAUGGGGCAAGUUGUUGAUGGCUCCAUCUUGGAAUGGACAUAUAUCAUUUCUGGCUUCACUCAUUGGCCCGUACUCAGCUUCAUGGCCACACUACCUGCCAGGGAG